ACCCGCUGAACUUAAGCAUAUCAAUAAGCGGAGGAAAAGAAACCAACAGGGAUUGCCUCAGUAACGGCGAGUGAAGCGGCAACAGCUCAAAUUUGAAAUCUGGGUCUUUCAGGCUCCGAGUUGUAAUUUGUAGAGGGAUCUUCGGACGUGGUCCGGCCUAAGUUUCAUGGAACUGAACAUCAUAGAGGGUGAGAAUCCCGUAUGCGGCCGGGUGCCUAUAUCCAUGUGAAGUCUCUUCGACGAGUCGAGUUGUUUGGGAAUGCUGCUCAAAAUGGGUGGUAAAUUUCAUCUAAAGCUAAAUACCGGCGAGAGACCGAUAGCGCACAAGUAGAGUGAUCGAAAGAUGAAAAGCACUUUGGAAAGAGAGUUAAAAAGUACGUGAAAUUGUUGAAAGGGAAGCGCUUGCAAUCAGACUUGCCUUCAGCUUAUCAUCCGGUGUUCUCACCGGUGCACUAGGUUGUUGUCAGGCCAGCAUCGGUUUUGGCGGCUGGAUAAAGGCCUUGGGAAUGUGGCCCCUCUUGGGGGGUGUUAUAGCCCAGGGUGUAAUGCAGCCAGCUGGGACCGAGGACCGCGCUUCGGCUAGGAUGCUGGCGUAAUGGUUGUAAGCGACCCGUCUUGAAACACGG
Molecule: ribosomal RNA, 626 nt
Filed under: uncultured fungus
Lineage: Eukaryota; Fungi
Description: eukaryotic LSU rRNA
Rfam family: Eukaryotic large subunit ribosomal RNA
Source: RNAcentral